RNAcentral lists this ribosomal RNA (465 nucleotides) under uncultured bacterium. RNAcentral describes it as "partial 16S ribosomal RNA". It matches the Rfam family "Bacterial small subunit ribosomal RNA", at positions 28 to 507 of the family's 1533-position model. The record is from RNAcentral.
GACGAACGCUGGCGGCGUGCUUAACACAUGCAAGUCGAACGGAAAGGCCCUGCUUGCAGGGUACUUGAGUGGCGAACGGGUGUGUAACACGUGGGUGAUCUGCCCUUCACUUCGGGAUAAGCCUGGGAAACUGGGUCUAAUACCGGAUAGGAGCCAUUUUUAUUGUGAUGGUUGGAAAGUUUUUUCGUUGUAGGAUGAGCUCGCGGCCUAUAAGCUUGUUGGUGGGGUAAUGGCCUACCAAGGCGGCGACGGGUAGCCGGCCGGAGAGGGUGGACGGCCACAUUGGGACUGAGAUACGGCCCAGACUCCUACGGGAGGCAGAAGUGGGGAAUAUUGCACAAUAAGCACAAGCCUGAUGCAGCGACGCCGCGUGGGGGAUGACGGCCUUCGGGUUGUAGACUCCUUUCGCUAGGGACGAAGCGUUUUGUGACGGUACCUAGAUAGGAAACACCGGCUAACUACGUG